UUGACGAAUGAGUUGAGCAAUUCCAAGUUUUCCUAUGACUAAAGAAGCAUAAGUGACAUUCCGGCGAUUUUGGCUUUCUACGAGCGGUUGUUGGUUUGGCGAAGCAGCAACUGGACUACCAAAUUGGUGGUUUUGUUGUAUGGGCAGACAAUAUGCGUUCAUGAAUGCAAAAUCAUCCGAGGAAGCAAAGGAAGAAACAGAUGAUGGAGAAGAUACAAUAUCACAUAGUGAAGGAUUAGCAAUACUGGAUAAAAUUGGGGAUGACCAUGGAUAUGUUGGGGGG
Non-coding RNA from Schizosaccharomyces pombe (fission yeast), 283 nucleotides. Lineage: Eukaryota; Fungi; Ascomycota; Schizosaccharomycetes; Schizosaccharomycetales; Schizosaccharomycetaceae. The record is from the annotation of a GenBank genome assembly.